RNAcentral lists this long non-coding RNA (579 nucleotides) under Mus caroli (Ryukyu mouse). RNAcentral describes it as "lncRNA (MGP_CAROLIEiJ_G0004613.1)". Lineage: Eukaryota; Metazoa; Chordata; Mammalia; Rodentia; Muridae. The record is from RNAcentral.
AGCCAGCCAUGUAAGGAGCUACCCUCAGUCUGGGAAGAAGUCUAGCAGGGAGAUUCCCAUAUCAAUGGCAUCUUGGGUAGUCACAUCCCCUAUGCUCAUAGGAUCUGCAUCACAGAGCUACAUGCAGUCAUCAGAUACACAGCAUGAGAACUACCUGUGAGGGCUUUCGUGAGGACCUUCCAGUCAGUCCAUUUAUUUGUUCUAUUUCACUGAUCUUCAGUUGCACCUCCUGCACUCUCAGAUGAACCCGAAGAUGACAUUUUUUGCACAGAGAACAACUGUGAUAAAAGUCCAUCUGUGACCUAAGAGAAGCACUGAGAACAACAAGGAGGUAGGAACAUCAAAACCUGUACUUGGCCAAUUUUGAGAAACAGAGGCUGAAACUGUGACAGUGGUCACCAUGCUGCAGGUGACCAACUCAGUUCUCAGGUCAUCAAGAGAAUGAAGACAUUGCAGCCAGGUUCCUAACUUGGGCCUAAGUACGAGUCACUAAAGGCACCUUGGUCAAGUUUCUAGUAUUGCCUUUGUGAUUAAAGUCAAGUCAUUUUGUGGCAAAUAAAGUCAGUAUCUGAAACCACU